GACGAACGCUGGCGGCGUGCCUAAUACAUGCAAGUAGAACGCACAGUUUAUACCGUAGCUUGCUACACCAUAAACUGUGAGUUGCGAACGGUUGAGUAACGCGUAGGUAACCUGCCUGGUAGCGGGGGAUAACUAUUGGAAACGAUAGCUAAUACCGCAUAAUAUUAAUUAUUGCAUGAUAAUUGAUUGAAAGAUGCAAUUGCAUCACUACCAGAUGGACCUGCGUUGUAUUAGCUAGUAGGUGAGGUAACGGCUCACCUAGGCGACGAUACAUAGCCGACCGGAGAGGGGGAUAGGCCACACUGGGACUGAGACACGGCCCAGACUCCUACGGGAGGCAGCAGUAGGGAAUCUUCGGCAAUGGACGAAAGUCUGACCGAGCAACGCCGCGUGAGUGAAGAAGGUUUUCGGAUCGUAAAGCUCUGUUGUAAGAGAAGAACGGGUGUGAGAGUGGAAAGUUCACACUGUGACGGUAUCUUACCAGAAAGGGACGGCUAACUACGUG
Molecule: ribosomal RNA, 505 nt
Filed under: uncultured bacterium
Lineage: Bacteria
Description: partial 16S ribosomal RNA
Rfam family: Bacterial small subunit ribosomal RNA
Source: RNAcentral